RNAcentral lists this long non-coding RNA (2253 nucleotides) under Homo sapiens (human). RNAcentral's name for it is "HSALNT0379286". The stretch from base 1 to 72 matches the Rfam family "Small nucleolar RNA SNORD113/SNORD114 family". Lineage: Eukaryota; Metazoa; Chordata; Mammalia; Primates; Hominidae. The record is from RNAcentral.
ACCAAUGAUGAGUACCAUGGGGUAUCUGAAACAGGAUUUUUGAUUAAACCCAUAUGCAAUUCUGAGGUCCAUUACAAAGAGACACGUAUUAUUCCUUUUUUGGGAAGUGAGCCUAUGGUACCUUUUCCUUGGACUUUGUGGUUCUUGGGGAUGGAUUGCAUUUUUGUUAUAAAAUCAGCCCAUGAAUUAAAAAUUUAUCAAUGAGUAAAACAUAAAGCAUAAGUCAUGUACUUAUUAUCAGUGACUGUAAUGAAACAUGGAUUAUUAUUAAAACUUAUCUGAGACUCCCAAUAAAUUAAUACCCAAGGCUUCUACCAUUCUGGUAAGGAGCAUAUGGUCAUUUGUAUGCAAGAGUCAGUUUUUGUUCUGUGUUGGUGGUGGGUUGCUGACUAUUUUAUGAAGAAAAUGAAGCAUCUUUAAUCAUAUAAAUAGUUGGUUAAAUAACCACUUAAUUGAGACCAAGCAGAGACCAAUGAUGAGUGUAUUAAUCUAUUUUUUAAUGGAUUUUUAUUAAACAAAUAAUAAAAGAAACACAGUCUAUUCUUCCUGAGGGCAAUAACUCUAGACAGAUGUAAAUAUUCUUCAGUGUUCUUGUCCAGUGCUGUGAGAUCACAGAUACUGAUGUCUUUUGUAUAUGAGAAGGAACUUGCAUUUUUAUGUCUCAGUUUAUAUUUUAGAGUCAGCAAACCAUGGACCAAUUAGGAACAAAUGUUAUGAUAUGAGAAUGCUGAUUCUUGUUUUUUUUUUUCAUGAUAGACAUUCUAAGAAAAACUCUAGGCUCUCUCAUUGUUUUUGGAAUACAUACAUGGUUCUUUCCAAGUAGUUUCUUAGAAAAAUGUUUUUAAAAAGAGGCUUUUAAAAAGAGCCUUUUAAAAUGUUUUUAAAAGAAGGCUUUAUUUUUCUCUAUAGAAUGAAAACCAUGUAGCUGGUCUUAUUAUUCUCUAAUCAUGAAGACCAUUAUUGUUAUUUGUGGACUAAGGAGCAGAAAGACUGAUAGUGGACAUAGGCCAGCUGAUUUAAUAAUUUAAGAAAGAACUGUUAUCCUGAGUAAGGAGCAUAGAGACAAAUAUAAAAUGAACGCACUCUACCUGAUUUAAUUAUAGUCUUCUGGUGAAGAUCUUGCUGUUAUCUCUGUGAAUCAGGAGAGAAGAGAUUGAUAAGGAAUAGACGAGAUUGGAUUUGGUCAUUUCCCCAAGGUGAAGAGCAUGGCGAUUUCUUCUGUGGUAAGGAGCAAUAAUGAAGACCAUGGUUGAUUUAAUCAGUCUCUGCUGAUGAAGAUCUUGGCUGUUACCUUUGUGUGUAAGGAAGCUAAAGACUUAAGUAAAUAACAGUCCAAAAACUUGUCAAUUAGGAAUGAAUGCGCAAUGAUUCAAUUAUUCUCCAGCGAGGAAGAUCAUGGUUGUUGUCUGUUUGAGUAAUGAGUGUAGAAACCUAUAAUGGAGGCGUGAUGGCUGAUGCAAUCAUUUUCCACUGAUGAAGGUUUUGAUGGCCACCUGUAAUGAACAGCCCCAUCUGAUUUAAUCACUGUGCAAUGACCGUGAACUGUACAGUUACCUCCGUGUGUCACAGGAAGACUCUUUUGACUUAAGCACCCUUCCAUGGUCAUGAGGUUUCUGGUUGCCUCUGUGUGUUAGAAGCUUGGAGACCAAUGCCUUCUGCUGUGAUCGCGUUCUCCACAGUUGCCUCUGGGUAGGAGCCUGGACACUAAUAGAAAAUGGAUGCACUUGAGCCGACCUAAGCAUUCAUGGUCAUGAGAUUUGUGGUUGCCACUGUUGGUUAGGAGCAUAGAGAUCAGUAAUGGACACACCUGGGCUGGCAGAACAUCUUGCCUUGAUCUGGAGCCCCAUGUCUGCCCCUCUGUAGAGGUGCACAUGGGCCAAUGAUGGAUGCAAUGAGCUGAUCAUUUUGCUGUGAUCAAGGCUAUGUUGCCUCUGUGUUAGGCCAAUGGUUGAUGUUCAUGGGUGAUUGAUCAUCCUGUAGCGACGGUGGUAUUGACUGUUCCCCAGAGGACAAGGAGUGUGUUCUUAUGUGGAGGCUGUCUGCAGUAGGAGCAUGGAGACCAACAAUGGAUGCUCUUAAACUGAUUUAAGCACGCUUCCAUGGUCAGAAGCCUUAUGGUUGCCACAGGGUAUUAGGAGCAUGGAGACCAAUAAUGGAUGUCCUUGUUCUGAUUUGAGGAUGCCUCCAAGGUCACAUACUCUGUUUGCACCACGCUUAGGAAGGAGCGUGAAGACCAAGGGGAGUAAUAGUCAA